Molecule: ribosomal RNA, 253 nt
Filed under: uncultured bacterium
Lineage: Bacteria
Description: partial 16S ribosomal RNA
Rfam family: Bacterial small subunit ribosomal RNA
Source: RNAcentral
UACAGAGGUCCCGAGCGUUGUUCGGAUUCAUUGGGCGUAAAGGGUGCGUAGGUGGCGUGGUAAGUCGGGUGUGAAAUUUCGGAGCUUAACUCCGAAACUGCAUUCGAUACUGCCGUGCUUGAGGACUGGAGAGGAGACUGGAAUUUACGGUGUAGCGGUGAAAUGCGUAGAGAUCGUGAGGAAGCCCAGUGGCGAAGGCGGGUCUCUGGACAGUUCCUGACACUGAGGCCCGAAUGCCCGGGGAGCAAACGGG